RNAcentral lists this unclassified non-coding RNA (690 nucleotides) under Hevea brasiliensis (rubber tree). The record is from RNAcentral. Lineage: Eukaryota; Viridiplantae; Streptophyta; Magnoliopsida; Malpighiales; Euphorbiaceae.
UUUUGAGCAGCAGAAGGGAGCUUUUACUUUGAUUUAGCUCAAAAUGGGGUGGAAAAGUUAUCAGAAACUCAUUCAUCAGUGGAGAAUUCUCAGAGGAGAUAAUGUCAUGAUUAUCAGAGGAAAAGAUAGAGGCGAGACCGGCGUUGUCAAGCGUGUCGUACGUUCUCAAAACCGUGUAAUUGUCGAGGGGAAAAACCUGGUCAAGAAACAUAUCAAACAAGGGCAAGGUCAUGAAGGUGGAAUAUUUACAGUUGAAGCCCCGCUGCAUGUUUCCAAUGUUCAGGUUGUAGAUCCAGUCACAGGAAAACCAACCAAGGUCGGAAUUAGAUACCUGGAGGAUGGCUCCAAAGUAAGAGUCUCAAGAGGUAUAGGAGCAUCUGGCUCUAUCAUUCCCCGGCCUGAGAUCUUAAAAAUAAGGACCACACCAAGGCCUACAGUUGCUGGUCCUAAGGAUACUCCAAUGGAGGUUGUUAUGGAGAGGACAUAUGAUCCAAAAACAGGAAAAGGCAUGCCAGAUCUCUAAAGAAAAUGUGGUGUACCUAAUGCAUCACUUUGUGAGAACACUGUUGUUACUUAUUUCAUUGAAGGAACUCACACUGUUUGGCUUUAGACCAACGGAAUUUGCUACAGAUAAAUAGUGUUAACCGCUAAAAUUAUGGUAUACUUGAAAAGUUUUUAGCAGUUGUUGAA